CUUGGUCAUUUAGAGGAAGUAAAAGUCGAACAAGGUUUCCGUAGGUGAACCUGCGGAAGGAUCAUUACAAGUGAGGCUACCGAACGUUGGAAACAGCGGUUAGGAGCUUACACCCACCCGUGUUUACAUACUAUUGUUGCUUUGGCGGGCCGUGGCCUCCACUGCGGGCUCUGCUCGUGUGUGCCCGCCAGAGAACCAAACUCUGAAUGUUAGUGAUGUCUGAGUACUAUCUAAUAGUUAAAACUUUCAACAACGGAUCUCUUGGUUCUGGCAUCGAUGAAGAACGCAGCGAAAUGCGAUAAGUAAUGUGAAUUGCAGAAUUCAGUGAAUCAUCGAAUCUUUGAACGCACAUUGCGCCCUGUGGUAUUCCGCAGGGCAUGCCUGUUCGAGCGUCAUUUAACCACUCACGCCUAGCGUGGUAUUGGGGCACGCGGUCUCCGCGGCCCUCAAAAUCAGUGGCGGCGCCGGUGGGCUCUAAGCGUAGUACAUACUCCCGCUAUAGAGUUCCCCCCGGUGGCUCGCCAGAACCCCCAAUUUUUUACAGGUUGACCUCGGAUCAGGUAGGGAUACCCGCUGAACUUAAGCAUAUCAAUAAGCGGAGGA
RNAcentral lists this ribosomal RNA (603 nucleotides) under uncultured Phialocephala. RNAcentral describes it as "eukaryotic LSU rRNA". The stretch from base 242 to 395 matches the Rfam family "5.8S ribosomal RNA". The record is from RNAcentral. Lineage: Eukaryota; Fungi; Ascomycota; Leotiomycetes; Helotiales.